This 322-nucleotide long non-coding RNA is filed under the name Zostera marina. RNAcentral's name for it is "long non-coding RNA (ZMAR_LNC002416)". Lineage: Eukaryota; Viridiplantae; Streptophyta; Magnoliopsida; Alismatales; Zosteraceae. The record is from RNAcentral.
CCAGCGAUUUCAAAUACUUCCCUUUUGGUUCAGGUAGAAGGAUGUGUGUUGGAAUGGUGAUGGCACACAAGAUGUUCAUGUACGUCAUGGCUUCACUGUUGCAUUCCUUCAACUUGAGGAUGCCUGAAGGACAUCAAUUAGAUUUCACCCAAAAAUUUGGUAUGGUUUUGCAGAAGAAAACACCACUUCAGAUCAUACCCUCUAAGAGACUCUCCAAAAUCCAACUUUACGAUUGAUUAAUUGAUUUAUAAACCCAAUCCAGGAGCAGUCAGGAAGGCAAGAAUAAUAUAUAUAAUAUUCUCUUUUUAUAAUUACUGUCAGC